RNAcentral lists this unclassified non-coding RNA (323 nucleotides) under soil metagenome. RNAcentral's name for it is "partial contains 5.8S ribosomal RNA, internal transcribed spacer 2, and large subunit ribosomal RNA". The stretch from base 1 to 120 matches the Rfam family "5.8S ribosomal RNA", at positions 35 to 154 of the family's 154-position model. The record is from RNAcentral.
GAUGAAGAACGUAGCGAAAUGCGAUAAGUAGUGUGAAUUGCAGAAUUCAGUGAAUCAUCGAAUCUUUGAACGCACAUUGCGCCCCUUGGUAUUCCAUGGGGCAUGCCUGUUCGAGCGUCAUUUGUACCUUCAAGCUUUGCUUGGUGUUGGAUGUUUGUCCUGAGGGACUCGCCUUAAAGUAAUUGGCAGCCAGUGUUUGGUUUUGAAGCGCAGCACAAGUCGCGAUUCAAGGCUAUACACCAGCUUCCACAAGCCUUUUUCACUUUUGACCUCGGAUCAGGUAGGGAUACCCGCUGAACUUAAGCAUAUCAAUAAGCGGAGGA